RNAcentral lists this ribosomal RNA (253 nucleotides) under uncultured bacterium. RNAcentral's name for it is "partial 16S ribosomal RNA". It matches the Rfam family "Bacterial small subunit ribosomal RNA", at positions 524 to 776 of the family's 1533-position model. The record is from RNAcentral.
UACGUAGGGUGCAAGCGUUACUCGGAAUUACUGGGCGUAAAGCGUGCGCAGGCGGUGAUGUAAGACAGGUGUGAAAUCCCCGGGCUUAACCUGGGAACUGCAUUUGUGACUGCAUCGCUGGAGUGCGGCAGAGGGGGAUGGAAUUCCGCGUGUAGCAGUGAAAUGCGUAGAUAUGCGGAGGAACACCGAUGGCGAAGGCGGCCUGCUGGGCUAUGGCUGACACUGAGGCGCGACAGCGUGGGGAGCAAACAGG